GACGACCGCUGGCGGCGUGCCUAAUACAUGCAAGUAGAACGCAGUUGCGCACGGGUGUGUAUCGCGUAGGUAACUGCCUGCUAGCGCGGGAUAACUAUUGGAGACGAUAGCCAUUACCGCAUAACGUGAGAUGGACCUUCGUUGUAUUGGAUAGUUGGUGAGGUAAAGGCUCACCAGGGAGAGGAUACAUAGCCGACCUGAGAGGGUGAUCGGCCACCAUGGAACUGAUGCACGGCCCAGGAUGCUUCGGGAGGCAGCAGUAGGGAAUCUUCGGAAAUGGACGGAAGUCUGGCCGAGCAACGCCGCGUGAGUGAAGAAGGUUUUCGGAUCGUAAAGCUCUGUUGUUAGAGAAGCGGUAACUAACCAGAAAGGGACGGCUAACUACGUGCCAGCAGCCGCGGUAAUAC
RNAcentral lists this ribosomal RNA (407 nucleotides) under uncultured bacterium. RNAcentral describes it as "partial 16S ribosomal RNA". It matches the Rfam family "Bacterial small subunit ribosomal RNA", at positions 28 to 526 of the family's 1533-position model. The record is from RNAcentral.